AACCUAGCAGUCGAACGGAAAGGCCCAGCUUGCUGGGUACUCGAGUGGCGAACGGGUGAGUAACACGUGGGUGAUCUGCCCUGCACUCUGGGAUAAGCCUGGGAAACUGGGUCUAAUACCGGAUAUGACCAACUGUCGCAUGGUGGUUGGUGGAAAGCUUUUGCGGUGUGGGAUGGGCCCGCGGCCUAUCAGCUUGUUGGUGGGGUAAUGGCCUACCAAGGCGACGACGGGUAGCCGACCUGAGAGGGUGAUCGGCCACACUGGGACUGAGACACGGCCCAGACUCCUACGGGAGGCAGCAGUGGGGAAUAUUGCACAAUGGGCGCAAGCCUGAUGCAGCGACGCCGCGUGAGGGAUGACGGCCUUCGGGUUGUAAACCUCUUUCACCAGGGACGAAGCGGAAGUGACGGUACCUGGAGAAGAAGCACCGGCCAACUACGUGCCAGCAGCCGCGGUAAUACGUAGGGUGCGAGCGUUGUCCGGAAUUACUGGGCGUAAAGAGCUCGUAGGCGGUUUGUCGCGUCGUCUGUGAAAUUCUGCAACUCAAUUGCAGGCGUGCAGGCGAUACGGGCAGACUUGAGUACUACAGGGGAGACUGGAAUUCCUGGUGUAGCGGUGAAAUGCGCAGAUAUCAGGAGGAACACCGGUGGCGAAGGCGGGUCUCUGGGUAGUAACUGACGCUGAGGAGCGAAAGCGUGGGUAGCGAACAGGAUUAGAUACCCUGGUAGUCCACGCCGUAAACGGUGGGUACUAGGUGUGGGUUCCUUUUCACGGGAUCCGUGCCGUAGCUAACGCAUUAAGUACCCCGCCUGGGGAG
This 817-nucleotide ribosomal RNA is filed under the name soil bacterium PK-12. RNAcentral's name for it is "bacterial SSU rRNA". It matches the Rfam family "Bacterial small subunit ribosomal RNA", at positions 52 to 880 of the family's 1533-position model. The record is from RNAcentral. RNAcentral also lists the same sequence under 1 other name.